UACGUAGGGGGCAAGCGUUGUUCGGAUUCAUUGGGCGUAAAGGGUGCGUAGGCGGCGCGGUAAGUCGGGUGUGAAAUCUCGGGGCUUAACUCCGAAACUGCAUUCGAUACUGCCGUGCUUGAGGACUGGAGAGGAGACUGGAAUUUACGGUGUAGCGGUGAAAUGCGUAGAUAUCGUAAGGAAGACCAGUGGCGAAGGCGGGUCUCUGGACAGUUCCUGACGCUGAGGCACGAAGGCCAGGGGGAGCAAACGGGG
Molecule: ribosomal RNA, 255 nt
Filed under: uncultured bacterium
Lineage: Bacteria
Description: partial 16S ribosomal RNA
Rfam family: Bacterial small subunit ribosomal RNA
Source: RNAcentral